Non-coding RNA from Eublepharis macularius, 495 nucleotides. The record is from the annotation of a RefSeq genome assembly. NCBI's taxonomy places the organism in Eukaryota, Metazoa, Chordata, Lepidosauria, Squamata, Eublepharidae.
AUGGAGGAGAAGAUGGCAAAGAUCAAAGGAGAAGGAACCAUGCAUUCUUUGCUCCUGGCCUUGGUGCUAUUUGUUAUUCCACCCUGUGUCCACUCGGCAGUGACCUUGAUCCAGCCUGGGUCAGUGCAGCUGAGGCCAGCAGAGACCCUUCGGCUCACCUGCUCCGUUUCUGGAUUCUCCCUCACUACUAGUGGGUAUGGAGUGGGUUGGAUCCGACAGCCCCCAGGGAAAGGCCUGGAGUGGCUGUGCGAUGUGGAUUGGGAAGAUGACAAGUACUACCAGCCCUCAUUGAGAAACCGCCUGACCAUCUCCAGGGACACAUCCAAGAGCGAGGUUUAUUUGGAGAUGAGAGGCAUGGAGGCAGGAGACACUGGCACCUAUUAAUGUGCCAGAGAAGCACAGCGUGCAAAAGCCAUGGGGGACCCAGACAAAUACCAGCUGCAUCGUGACUCAGCGUGUCCUGAUACAUAUUGCCAAGAGCUUGUGAAUGACUAG